Molecule: ribosomal RNA, 645 nt
Filed under: Pedomicrobium manganicum
Lineage: Bacteria; Pseudomonadati; Pseudomonadota; Alphaproteobacteria; Hyphomicrobiales; Hyphomicrobiaceae
Description: bacterial SSU rRNA
Rfam family: Bacterial small subunit ribosomal RNA
Source: RNAcentral
UUCGGGGAGAGUGGCAGACGGGUGAGUAACGCGUGGGAACCUUCCCAGUGGUGCGGAAUAGCCCAGGGAAACUUGGGGUAAUACCGCAUAAGCCCUUCGGGGGAAAGAUUUAUCGCCAUUGGAUGGGCCCGCGUCGGAUUAGCUAGUUGGUGAGGUAAUGGCUCACCAAGGCGACGAUCCGUAGCUGGUCUGAGAGGAUGAUCAGCCACACUGGGACUGAGACACGGCCCAGACUCCUACGGGAGGCAGCAGUGGGGAAUAUUGGACAAUGGGCGCAAGCCUGAUCCAGCCAUGCCGCGUGAGUGACGAAGGCCUUAGGGUUGUAAAGCUCUUUUGGCGGGGACGAUAAUGACGGUACCCGCAGAAUAAGCUCCGGCUAACUUCGUGCCAGCAGCCGCGGUAAUACGAAGGGAGCUAGCGUUGUUCGGAAUCACUGGGCGUAAAGCGCACGUAGGCGGAUUUGUUAGUCAGGGGUGAAAUCCCGGGGCUCAACCUCGGAACUGCCUUUGAUACUGCAAAUCUCGAGUCCGAGAGAGGUGGGUGGAAUUCCUAGUGUAGAGGUGAAAUUCGUAGAUAUUAGGAAGAACACCGGUGGCGAAGGCGGCCCACUGGCUCGGUACUGACGCUGAGGUGCGAAAGCGUGGG